GUGACAUACCUAUAACUGUUGCUUCGGCGGGUAGGGUCUCCGCGACCCUCCCGGCCUCCCGCCUCCGGGCGGGUCGGCGCCCGCCGGAGGAUAACCAAACUCUGAUUUAACGACGUUUCUUCUGAGUGGUACAAGCAAAUAAUCAAAACUUUUAACAACGGAUCUCUUGGUUCUGGCAUCGAUGAAGAACGCAGCGAAAUGCGAUAAGUAAUGUGAAUUGCAGAAUUCAGUGAAUCAUCGAAUCUUUGAACGCACAUUGCGCCCGCCAGCAUUCUGGCGGGCAUGCCUGUUCGAGCGUCAUUUCAACCCUCAAGCUCUGCUUGGUGUUGGGGCCCUACAGCUGAUGUAGGCCCUCAAAGGUAGUGGCGGACCCUCCCGGAGCCUCCUUUGCGUAGUAACUUUACGUCUCGCACUGGGAUCCGGAGGGACUCUUGCCGUAAAACCCCCCAAUUUUCCAAAGGUUGACCUCGGAUCAGGUAGGAAUACCCGCUGAACUUAAGCAUAUCA
RNAcentral lists this ribosomal RNA (507 nucleotides) under Colletotrichum fructicola. RNAcentral describes it as "eukaryotic LSU rRNA". The stretch from base 147 to 300 matches the Rfam family "5.8S ribosomal RNA". Lineage: Eukaryota; Fungi; Ascomycota; Sordariomycetes; Glomerellales; Glomerellaceae. The record is from RNAcentral.